AAGCCUAACUUUUAGAGCACAGAGUUCUGGAUCUGAAAUGGUUGUCCUCUUCGUGUCCUUACCCAGGUGAUGAAAGCACCUUCCCUUGUGUGAAGUAAACAUGGCCUAUUGCUCUUGGCAUUAUUAGCUGUUUUUACUGUUGUUUUUUCUUCUGUGGAAAGCUCCAUGUCCCCCAAAGCCCAGGAAGUUCAGAAGGCAAUGUCAAACUGGAGGAACUGAAACCAUUAAAACUUGUGACAACCGAAUUCUCCACUGGUGAUCUUCUCUUCUCAAGGAGCCCUUUAGUACAAGGGGGUUUCGGAGCAGCUCUUCAGAUGUGGCCUCAAGUAAUUUGGGUUUGUUUGGCUCAGCCCCAUUCCUCAAUGUGUGGGACAAUAUUCAUGGAAUUCCAGUCGCCUAUAAUCUAAUAGUAGAGAUUCUGCAUGCACCCUUCCAGCCCAUCUGUGGUUUUAACAGGAGCUGUUGAUGGAAGUGAUGGGACCAGUUGCCAAGAUCUUAAGUUUUUUGAUGUUAAGGUUCAAGCCAGCUUUCACACUCUCCUCCUUCACCCUCAUCAACAAGCUUCUUAAUUCCUCUUCACUUUCUGCCAUCAGAGUGGUAUC
Molecule: long non-coding RNA, 602 nt
Organism: Vombatus ursinus (common wombat)
Lineage: Eukaryota; Metazoa; Chordata; Mammalia; Diprotodontia; Vombatidae
Exons: 3
Source: RefSeq, a predicted model, not a curated record